This 23-nucleotide transfer RNA is filed under the name Myodes glareolus (Bank vole). Its description in RNAcentral is "partial tRNA-Thr". Lineage: Eukaryota; Metazoa; Chordata; Mammalia; Rodentia; Cricetidae. The record is from RNAcentral.
GCCCUGAUAGUAUAAACAUUACA